AUUAUUAUUACUUUCAUCGUCUUCUUCACUCUCACCAAACCCUAGCCGCCGCCGACACCUCAUCUUUGUUCGAGUGUUCUUCGUCCAGUCUAGAUAUCCACCUUUGUAGCCAUCUCCUCCAUUAUGUUGAUCGAGAACUAAGCCGCAAGGAAACAUCUCCUCCGUUGCAUGCCGCUAGUCGCAUGUUUACUUCAUCCGAAACCGAGCGUCUUUACGCCGCUUGUUCCUUCGCGAGUCACACGCUUAGCUACCCCGGUCUCCUUCAUCUGCAUUCGUUCACCGAUUAUGCCAAAACUUCCAACCACCGUCAGUCGUCGGAUUUUAUUGACUUUGUUGUUGUUGGGGUUUUGUGACAUACAUUAUAUCUUUUCUAAGAAGCUCACCUUUGCGCGAAACGAAAAAGAAUCUAUAAUUGGUUUGAUGAAGAAGAUGGUUGUAAUCAGUUGGAUGAAGAAGAUGGUUGACAAGAAGAAAAUUCUUUGAUUUGCAGUGAAUGUAUGAAGACUUUGAAGGUUUCGAGGAGGACGAAUCUUGAAGCUCCAAUAUUUUCUGCAAAUGAUCGAAGACUUUGAAGAUUUGAUGGAAUCUACGAAAGUGGAAGGUGCUUGAUUCUUUCAUGAAAUGUUGGGUUAGAGCCUAUAGCGAUGGCACCUUGGUCAUCACAAAACACAUCAGUUGGCAGCAAAGAGGUGAUAUUCAAGUCUUUUAAAAGUUGAGAGAUCCAUAAUAACUCACUGGUUACUGAGGCCAAAACUUUACAUUAUGCUUCUGUAGUAGAUCUUGAGAUAGUGCUUGCUUUUUCGACUUUCAUGAUACAAGGGAAUCUCCCAAGAAAAUGAAACAACCUAAAAUAUAUCUUCUAGUGUCAAGGCAAGCUCCCCAAUCUGUAUCAACAUAAGCCUUGAGGUGGAAUUCCUUGACAUGUUUGAUUAAAAUGCCCUGUCUUUAUUACUUA
This is a long non-coding RNA of Cucumis sativus (cucumber), 955 nucleotides long. RefSeq lists it as uncharacterized. NCBI's taxonomy places the organism in Eukaryota, Viridiplantae, Streptophyta, Magnoliopsida, Cucurbitales, Cucurbitaceae. The record is from RefSeq and is a predicted model, not a curated record. The transcript has 2 exons.